AGAGUUUGAUCAUGGCUCAGAAUCAACGCUGGCGGCGCGCUUAACACAUGCAAGUCGAGCGAGAAAGGGGAGCAAUCCCUGAGUACAGCGGCGUACGGGUGAGUAACACGUGGGUAAUCUGCCUUUUAGUGGGGAAUAACCCUGGGAAACCGGGGCUAAUACCGCAUAAUCCUGUGAAGGGAAAGCAGCAAUGCGCUGAAAGAGGAGCCCGCGGCCGAUUAGCUAGUUGGUGAGGUAACGGCUCACCAAGGCGGUGAUCGGUAGCCGGCCUGAGAGGGCACACGGCCACACUGGCACUGAAACACGGGCCAGACUCCUACGGGAGGCAGCAGUGGGGAAUCUUGCACAAUGGAGGCAACUCUGAUGCAGCGACGCCGCGUGAGCGAUGAAGCCCCUCGGGGUGUAAAGCUCUUUCGGCAGGGACGAUUAUGACGGUACCUGAAGAAGAAGCUGCGGCUAACUACGUGCCAGCAGCCGCGGUAAUAC
RNAcentral lists this ribosomal RNA (486 nucleotides) under uncultured bacterium. RNAcentral describes it as "bacterial SSU rRNA". It matches the Rfam family "Bacterial small subunit ribosomal RNA", at positions 8 to 526 of the family's 1533-position model. The record is from RNAcentral.